CCACUCUCCUGCCUGGGCUGCUGCUCAACGGGGGCUGGGGGUGUGUGGGGCGGGGGUGGUCUGUCCAGUGAUUCAGCCACAUGUGAUAGAUGACCAAGUGACUGCUUUCUUGGAGUCCGCACACCAGUGGAAGACUCUCAAAGUGGUUGUGACCGACUUGAUCAAACUCUAGGCUUCCUGAACUGGAAUGAAAUGCAGAUAACUCUUUAGAAAACUUUUGUAGGAAAAGCGCCUCGUGUGAUCUGGAACAAAGACGUUUUAUAAUCAGAUUUAUCAAGCUGCGAAGAGGGAGUUUUAGUGAACGGAAGCAGCAGCAUUCUGUCACCAGGAAAUACUCCUUUAUCCAGAAUUGGUAAGUGAAAAGUGGCAUUGCUCCCUAAUAGAUAUCAUAUGUGUGUGUGGGAAUUGAAAAAUUGUUCACAGACCCCUAACAACUGUGUUGAACAGAGAACACAUAAACAGUGAGGAGUUCUAAAAAAGAGCAGCACGAGAAUACCGCAUAAAGACUGAGAAGAAGCCAGGUAAUUAACAAAAAUGAGCUGAGUGCUAUCAGUUUAGCUAAACAUAUGUAAUACAGCUAGAUUUGGUUGUUUUAUUUUUUCUUGUUAGUGGAGGAGAAACAUAAAAUCAGAAUGGGCUGUUUAGUAGAAUUGCGACAUUAACUUUCCAUGGAUGUAGAUUUCCAUCUAGUCUGAAUAGCAUGUAUGAAAUUUGAAGGGAUGCUUUCAGAAUUAGUCUACUUGCCCUCCUUUCCUUUCCUCUGCAUUAAGAUGUCAAGUAUUUAGUUAGAACCUUACAAGAUGAAAGUUGUACAAAAUGAAAGUUCAAGUAAUGCGUCGGAAACACCUCUCCUGAUUGGGAAGGGUAGAUUACAAUGGCAAUAGAUUUUUGUUUUUUCUUUCUUACAUUUGUGUCACGAAUUUUAAGUUUGUUCUAUUGGAUUACAUUAGUACAGCAAAAGGGGGGUUAUUUCUAUCUAUAUGGUUCAUGACAUUUUGAGAGGUCGUGAUUAGUAGUUCUUACUGGUUUCGUAUGCAUGUUCCUGCCUGUUGAAUUCAGUUUUCUAAUCUUGAAUCUGAGCUGCCUUUAUGUUAAAGGGUUCUAGAAAAAGACAAUAAAGCUUUGAAUGCCUGUGUUAUAUACAACAGGUUCCUGUUCAUGAUGUAUAAGGUAACGCAAUUUUAUUUUAGGCAUGAAUGUCUAAUUUCUUGAUUUGGCUUCUUAAGAAUAUACUGAAAAGGUUGAAUAGAAUAAGAAAAAGAACAUUAGAAAAGAAUGGUGGGUGACUGCCUGAUUUUACUAGUUUCUUAUUGGUCAAUAGAAGUAAUCAUGUGAUGUCUACUUAUAGAAGCAAAUGGAAAAAAUUUUUCUUCUUUAACUGCUAACAAUUAUAUAGGCAAUUUUAGCAAUCUUCAUUUAUUAAUUCGAAUAUAUAAUUAUAACUGUUAUUAACAGAAUAAGUUUUGGGUAAUAUAGGAAAUAAUAAUUAUUUCUUUCUUUUUAAGCCAAAUUGGAAGUUGAAUCUACUUUUGGUUCCUGUUCUGUUACUUUCAAAAUCUUAAAAUCCUUAACUCAAAAGGGAAAAUGUAUAAUAAAACAGGAUAGCAGUGCUGAAAUUUCUCUCUCUUAGCAGUGGAGUGGGAUGAGGGUGGGGCAGGGAGAUGAAUCUAGUGAGAUAUAUUAAUUGUUUUUUCCCCCUCUUGUAUACUUGGAUAACUUUUGAGAUCAGUUUUCUCAGACUAGCAGCUCUCAAGACUU
Molecule: long non-coding RNA, 1758 nt
Filed under: Pan troglodytes (chimpanzee)
Lineage: Eukaryota; Metazoa; Chordata; Mammalia; Primates; Hominidae
Description: lincRNA
Source: RNAcentral